AACGAACGCUGGCGGCACGCCUAACACAUGCAAGUCGAGCGCAAUCCUUCGGGAUCGAGCGGCGGACGGGUUAGUAACGCGUGGGAACAUACCCUUCUCUAAGGAAUAGCCUCGGGAAACUGAGAGUAAUACCUUAUACGCCCUUCGGGGAAAGAUUUAUCGGAGAAGGAUUGGCCCGCGUAAGAUUAGAUAGUUGGUGGGGUAAUGGCCUACCAAGU
RNAcentral lists this ribosomal RNA (218 nucleotides) under uncultured Octadecabacter sp. RNAcentral describes it as "partial 16S ribosomal RNA". It matches the Rfam family "Bacterial small subunit ribosomal RNA", at positions 29 to 273 of the family's 1533-position model. The record is from RNAcentral. Lineage: Bacteria; Pseudomonadati; Pseudomonadota; Alphaproteobacteria; Rhodobacterales; Roseobacteraceae.